CAGCAGUUAAAAAAGAAAUUACAAAAAAAAACAGUUCCCUCAAUAGGACUCGAACUUGUAACCGACAGUGAUACCAACAAUAGGACCCUUAUGGAGAACAAAACGAAUUAAAAUAGCAACAAUCGGAAAUUCUUGAAAUUUGCGCUAGCUGCGGGAAACAUGUGACCAGCCAAAAUACGUUUUCUUCAAUAACUUUUGUGUUUCUUAACCGAUCUUGAUGAAAUUUUCACCAGUAGAUCUUAUUGUGCUAUAGAGUUCUCAAAAAGACAAUUGAUUAAAAUUGUGGCUCAAAUUGGGCGGCAAUGCAAAUUGGCAGGUGGUGAUAGCUAUAAAAUGAAAGUAACUUAAUAUAUAUAUACAGAGACAGUUCAGAAAGCUACAUAUCAAGUUUGAGAUUUGCUCAAAGAACAGGAUCGAUUCUUAGCGAUAACUUUGAAGCGGGACAAGUAAUCGAUUAUCGGAAAUAAACUAGGAGGAUCUACAAUUUUUGGGUGUAAAAAGAAUGAAAACCGUUGAUUGCUAGUUUUUCAUAUCAAAUGCCUUAGAUUGACAGAAAGAUGAUUUUUUUAAUUAAACAAAAAUUAUUUAAUAAUUACAAGAAAAUAGAAUAAAGUCAAUGAAAGAUAGAUAGAUUGUUAGUCAGAAGAACGCAAUGCAGGAAAUCUAGAAUUUGUUCCUGGCUUUUCGUGUUGUGCAUAGGUAAGGACUAAGGACACGCGUUCAACCGUAAAGUCAACGCCGAAAAGCGUUCUCUAAAGUAUUAUCGCUGUCGUGACGUGGCACGGUUCGUCGGCCCUCAAAGUUACAACGACUCAGAGGACACUGGCCGCGUCGCGCCGCGCCGCGUCUUCGUCUGAUGAACCGCCCUCAGACCACGCCAGGUUGUUUCCGUCGACCAACCAACACCCUAAAAGCGAAAGGGCCAGACGCCGCGCACAUCCAGAACAACGACAAGGACAAGGACAACAACCCAUCUGACUGAGGCAGAGGCAGAGGCAGAGGCAGAGACUGAGGCAGAGGCAGAGACAGAGACAGAGGCAGGGCGUCAGCCGCCUUCGCCAGCGCAUCUUGCUGCCCUUCCCAGGCAAGCUUUGUGCGUGUGCGUGUGUGUGUGUAAAGUAUGUAUGUAAGUGUGCAUAAAACUAAUAAAAUUUCCAGCCAGCAUGCAUGCACACAUACAUAUGCACAUUAACAUUGAUUCGUAUUUGUUGUGCCCUGUUCACGAUUGAAAGGAGCGUAUUCGACUAUUUCAAGUAUUUUGUGAUAUUCUCGGAUCUGAAGCUAUUUGGACAAAUAUCGGGUUUCUAUGUCAUAUAUGAUGUCACUCUCACAAGUACUCCCGACUUUAUGCUCGACACCGUGACAAAGACAAUUCUUUAUAAAUAUAUCAUUUGUGUUUUUGUGUUUGAUUUUGCGUUUGCAGAGCAACCCGAUGCAGUUAGCACAAACGCUCAAAACUGUUAUACAAGCUUACAGUUACUUUUCGUCUCCAUGUCUUAUUAACCAAUGACAAGCAGGCAGGCAGAAGAUCAAAUGAAGAGAGAAAGAGAGAACGACACAUGCACAUUGGUUCCAAAUGGAAGCUAAUAUUUAACGCGAUAACAAUCGUAACCCAAAUAUAGUGGUCGAUGGCUCGCCGCCAGCCAAAUGUCAUUGCUCCCCGCUGGCAGGCUUAACCUUGAAAGUUUAGCUGCCAGGGCAAUAACAAAGAAAAGGACGAACAAGAAACAGAAGAACUGAGGGCGCAAGCGAGAUAGCAAGCGAGACAUUGGAACAGAGAAAGUUUCAACAGGACAACAGUACACAAGCAGCCGUUAGCCUUUUUUUUUCGGCUGACUUACAGUUAGGUUAAGUUCAUUCAUUUUACACGCAUCGCGCCUUAAGUUGAAGACUGUAAAGACUAAGACAAACACAACCUGGCUGAAAAAUGUAAUUAGAAUUAUUUCAUGUGAAGAGCGCAGAAGGCAUUUUCAUAUAAUAUUAAGCAUUGUAAAAUCUUUGA
Molecule: long non-coding RNA, 2002 nt
Organism: Drosophila novamexicana
Lineage: Eukaryota; Metazoa; Arthropoda; Insecta; Diptera; Drosophilidae
Exons: 3
Source: RefSeq, a predicted model, not a curated record